UAGCAACAGAGCCUACUGCAGAGGUGGGA
Molecule: non-coding RNA, 29 nt
Filed under: Macaca fascicularis (crab-eating macaque)
Lineage: Eukaryota; Metazoa; Chordata; Mammalia; Primates; Cercopithecidae
Also listed under: 1 other name
Source: RNAcentral